CGGGGUGGGUGGAUCACUAGGCCAGGAGAUCGAGACCAUCCUGGCUAACACAGUGAAACCCUGUCUCUACUAAAAAUAGAAAAAAUUAGUCGGGCAUGGUGGCGGGCACCUGUAGUCCCAGCUACUCGGGAGGCUGAGGCAGGAGAAUGGCGUGAACCCGGGAGGUGGAGGCUGCAGUGAGCCAAGAUCGCGCCACUGCACUCCAGCCUGGGUGACAGAGCAAGAC
RNAcentral lists this long non-coding RNA (226 nucleotides) under Homo sapiens (human). Its description in RNAcentral is "HSALNT0340438". The record is from RNAcentral. Lineage: Eukaryota; Metazoa; Chordata; Mammalia; Primates; Hominidae.